This 60-nucleotide transfer RNA is filed under the name Bothriometopus macrocnemis. RNAcentral describes it as "tRNA-Trp". Lineage: Eukaryota; Metazoa; Arthropoda; Insecta; Psocodea; Philopteridae. The record is from RNAcentral.
GUCCGGAUAGUUUACUUAAAACAUCUCUUUUCAACAGAGAAGAAGCGGAGGCUCCGGACA